AAUAUUGCACAAUGGGCGCAAGCCUGAUGCAGCGACGCCGCGUGAGGGAUGACGGNCUNNGGGUUNUNAACCUCUUUCAGUGCNNNNNAAGCGGAAGUGCCGGUAGGCACAGAAGAAGGACCGGCCAACUACGUGCCAGCAGCCGCGGUAAUACGUAGGGUCCGAGCGUUGUCCGGAAUUACUGGGCGUAAAGAGCUCGUAGGUGGUUUGUCGCGUUGUCCGUGAAAACUCACAGCUUAACUGUGGGCGUGCGGGCGAUACGGGCAGACUAGAGUACUGCAGGGGAGACUGGAAUUCCUGGUGUAGCGGUGGAAUGCGCAGAUAUCAGGAGGAACACCGGUGGCGAAGGCGGGUCUCUGGGCAGUAACUGACGCUGAGGAGCGAAAGCGUGGGGAGCGAAC
Molecule: ribosomal RNA, 401 nt
Filed under: uncultured bacterium
Lineage: Bacteria
Description: partial 16S ribosomal RNA
Rfam family: Bacterial small subunit ribosomal RNA
Source: RNAcentral